GUCUCGGAUAGCUUAACUUGUAGAGCCUUUGGCGCGUAACCAAACGAUCCGGGUUCGAAUCCCGGUCUGGACU
Molecule: transfer RNA, 73 nt
Filed under: Cotesia glomerata
Lineage: Eukaryota; Metazoa; Arthropoda; Insecta; Hymenoptera; Braconidae
Description: tRNA-Thr
Rfam family: tRNA (bases 5-69)
About the family: Transfer RNA (tRNA) molecules are approximately 80 nucleotides in length.
Source: RNAcentral